RNAcentral lists this long non-coding RNA (442 nucleotides) under Urocitellus parryii (Arctic ground squirrel). RNAcentral describes it as "lncRNA (ENSUPAG00010023238.1)". Lineage: Eukaryota; Metazoa; Chordata; Mammalia; Rodentia; Sciuridae. The record is from RNAcentral.
CAUAAAUCUUGUAAGCUGCUUUUCCAUGACCAGCCAGAACCAGCCUUGAGUGAAGACACCGCCUGUUGCUGGUGGCCACGCUCUCUUCAUUCUGAUUUCAACAAGCAUUUGUCAGCCAGAGAAGCAUUAGAAGGAGAGAAGUGACAGGGCAGCUGGAAUCCGGGAACCUCGCUCUGAUCAGGAAUGAAACUGCCCAGGCUUCUGUGAAAAAUCAGCUUAUCUUCGUGGCCUCAGAAUAUUUUUCAUUGACAGUUGCUUUCUACCAGAGUGGGCUGGGGAAGAAGCCAAAACAAAAUAGACGUUUUGAUGACAACAGACAAAGACCAUAACUACUCUGGUUACCCCAAGUUGAUGCUCAAAUAUUUUGGUAACUGAUAAACAAAGAAACUGCACCAGCUCAAAGACAGAAUCAUCUUUCCUCCUCCUCCUCCUCCUCCUCUUC